GCACUCGUAGCUCAACCGGAUAGAGCAUCGGUCUUCGAAACCGAGGGUUGGGGGUUCGAAUCCCUCCGGGUGCA
RNAcentral lists this transfer RNA (74 nucleotides) under Verrucomicrobiota bacterium. Its description in RNAcentral is "tRNA-Arg". It matches the Rfam family "tRNA". From Rfam's summary of the family: Transfer RNA (tRNA) molecules are approximately 80 nucleotides in length. Their secondary structure includes four short double-helical elements and three loops (D, anti-codon, and T loops). Further hydrogen bonds mediate the characteristic L-shaped molecular structure. tRNAs have two regions of fundamental functional importance: the anti-codon, which is responsible for specific mRNA codon recognition, and the 3' end, to which the tRNAs corresponding amino acid is attached (by aminoacyl-tRNA synthetases). tRNAs cope with the degeneracy of the genetic code in two manners: having more than one tRNA (with a specific anti-codon) for a particular amino acid; and 'wobble' base-pairing, i.e. permitting non-standard base-pairing at the 3rd anti-codon position. RNAcentral also lists the same sequence under 1 other name. The record is from RNAcentral. Lineage: Bacteria; Pseudomonadati; Verrucomicrobiota.